ACAUGCAAGUCGAACGGUAACAGGAAGAAGCUUGCUUCUUUGCUGACGAGUGGCGGACGGGUGAGUAAUGUCUGGGAAACUGCCUGAUGGAGGGGGAUAACUACUGGAAACGGUAGCUAAUACCGCAUAACGUCGCAAGACCAAAGAGGGGGACCUUCGGGCCUCUUGCCAUCGGAUGUGCCCAGAUGGGAUUAGCUUGUUGGUGGGGUAACGGCUCACCAAGGCGACGAUCCCUAGCUGGUCUGAGAGGAUGACCAGCCACACUGGAACUGAGACACGGUCCAGACUCCUACGGGAGGCAGCAGUGGGGAAUAUUGCACAAUGGGCGCAAGCCUGAUGCAGCCAUGCCGCGUGUAUGAAGAAGGCCUUCGGGUUGUAAAGUACUUUCAGCGGGGAGGAAGGGAGUAAAGUUAAUACCUUUGCUCAUUGACGUUACCCGCAGAAGAAGCACCGGCUAACUCCGUGCCAGCAGCCGCGGUAAUACGGAGGGUGCAAGCGUUAAUCGGAAUUACUGGGCGUAAAGCGCACGCAGGCGGUUUGUUAAGUCAGAUGUGAAAUCCCCGGGCUCAACCUGGGAACUGCAUCUGAUACUGGCAAGCUUGAGUCUCGUAGAGGGGGGUAGAAUUCCAGGUGUAGCGGUGAAAUGCGUAGAGAUCUGGAGGAAUACCGGUGGCGAAGGCGGCCCCCUGGACGAAGACUGACGCUCAGGUGCGAAAGCGUGGGGAGCAAACAGGAUUAGAUACCC
Molecule: ribosomal RNA, 745 nt
Filed under: Escherichia coli
Lineage: Bacteria; Pseudomonadati; Pseudomonadota; Gammaproteobacteria; Enterobacterales; Enterobacteriaceae
Description: bacterial SSU rRNA
Rfam family: Bacterial small subunit ribosomal RNA
Source: RNAcentral